Molecule: ribosomal RNA, 380 nt
Filed under: uncultured bacterium
Lineage: Bacteria
Description: bacterial SSU rRNA
Rfam family: Bacterial small subunit ribosomal RNA
Source: RNAcentral
GACGAACGCUGGCGGCGUGCUUAACACAUGCAAGUCGAGCGGUAAGGCCCUUUUGGGGGUACACGAGCGGCGAACGGGUGAGUAACACGUGGGUGACCUGCCUUCAGCUUCGGGAUAAGCUUGGGAAACUGGGUCUAAUACCGGAUAUGACUUGGCCUCGCAUGGGGUUGGGUGGAAAGUUUUUUCGGCUGGAGAUGGCCGCGGCCUAUCAGCUUGUUGGUGGGUGAUGGCCUACCAAGGCGACGACGGGUAGCCGGCCUGAGAGGGCGACCGGCCACACUGGGACUGAGAUACGGCCCAGACUCCUACGGGAGGCAGCAGUGGGGAAUCUUGCGCAAUGGGCGGAAGCCUGACGCAGCGACGCCGCGUGGGGAUGACGG